Molecule: long non-coding RNA, 4945 nt
Organism: Equus caballus (horse)
Lineage: Eukaryota; Metazoa; Chordata; Mammalia; Perissodactyla; Equidae
Source: Ensembl
GUCAGGCGUUUUUCAGGAGCGCGCUGCUAACGGCCUUACGUGCUGUAUCAGUCUGCGAGGGCUGCCGUGACAAAGAACCACAGCUUGCAGGGUUCUAACAGCAGAAGUUUGUUUUCUCACGAUUGUAGACGCCGGGAAGUCAGAGAUCAAGGUGUGGGGAGGGUGGGUUUCUCCUGAGGCCUCUCUCCUCGGCGUGUGGACGGCUGCCUUCGCCCGGUGUCCUCGCGCGGUCGUCCCUCUGUGCGUGUCUGUGUCCUGAUCUCGCCUCCUUAUAAGAACCCCAGUCCUAGUGGCUUAGGGCCCGCCUGACCUCGUCUUAACUUCUUAUCUCUUUAAAGACCCUGUCUCCAAACACGGUCACGUUCUGAGGGUCAGGGGGUUAGGACUUCAACGCAUGAAGCAACCCAGCCUGUGACAUCUGCUUUCUCUCUCUUCCUCCUCACCCUGGGGAGCUCCCAUGAAUCUAUUUCUUAUCCUGUUUUAACAAUAAGGAGACGUCUGUGUUGGAAACAAUCAAAUCAUUUGCAAUCAAACCGUCUCUCCCUCUGAACAAACAGAACCGCUCGUCCUGGUUGUGUGGGUGCGGUGCGGGAUCCGCGCCGGAGCUGGCUGAAGAACCACUGCGAUGAUGUUCUUGUGUCCACCGUGGGUGAGACCAGGAGGCUCUGACAACAGACAUGCGGCUUUUCCCUCGUGGUGGUGGCUCUCAAGGGCUCCUUCCUCGCACGUGCAAACACACCCACCCCCCCCCCCACCCAGUAUUUCCCAAAAUGCGUAUGGAGCACAUCCUAUGAGAGCAAUUAAUGUGCAUCCCAUGGAGGGAGGUUUUUUUUCAACCAAAUACGGUUGUGAAGUAUUACGUAAACAAUAUAGAAUAGACUUCCUUGCUGCAGGAUUUCUUGGAAUCUCUAAUACGCUAUGUGACGUGUGAAUCUCUCAGAUGGCAUUAGAGCAGGGGUCGGCAAACUUUAUCUGUAAAGCACUGGCUACCAAGUAUUUCAGGCUUUGUGGGUCACGUGAUCUCCAUUGCACUACUCAACCCUGCUGUCGUAACCUGAGAGGAGCCGUGGACAACAUGUAAGUGAAUGUGUGGCCCUGUUCUAAUAAAACUUUAUUUACAAAAACAAGCAGCAGGCCAGAGUUGGCCUACAGGCCGUAGUUUGCUGGCCCCGUCUUGGAGAUGGAGUUUUUUCCAAAUGUAUUGGAACGUGGAGUUCUUUUUUCAAGAAGUGCUCACGUCCCGCAGAUCACACUCUUCUUUCCAACAACCCUUGGUGCUCAGUUGGGCGCCUUCGCACUGUUUCAUGUCCACCCUGUCUGUGUCGACGUCCCCGCCUGCUGGGAUAGUGUUUUAUGACGCUGGCCCCUGGACUGAGACGAGUCAUCUAGGCUCCAGGCUUGACCCUAAGGAAUCUGAACCACCUUGGGCUGGAGGAUUCCCCAGCGAGGGCCCUCGCGUGCAAUUUUUGGGACUUUUGGGUUCAGCAGAACUUGAGACACCUCGCCACGUGUGUGAUCACGGGAACAUUCUUAACAAAAGGGUAUAAAAUUCAACUGGGUUUGACCUUUUGAGUUUAGCAGAUUUUCCACCUGGUCUGAGCUGGAGGAAAUGGGCUUCGCAGCGGGAAGGCUGCUUCUCCGGCUGUGGAAAGCGCUCCUGCGUCCGUUCUCGAGGCGGUGCGCUUCUUGGCUGAGCCAUGCUGUGGGUUCCUCGCUGACGGUUAAUUGAGAAGUGCUGAGCUGGAGCGUCUGGGUGGAUAGCCCAUUCAGAGCACAGUUCCAGCCAGCCUGGGGUCAGAAAUAUUUGAGCCCCCCUCUCCCCACCAAAAAAUGCACAUAACUCUGCAGGAAUCUCACACGUGGGUGGACACAUCUAUCUUGAGUUUCAUCCACUCGGGGCCAACUUCUUUCUGGCACGAAGGGUGCAAGCUUGGAGCACAGACCCAGCCACCGGAUAUUUCAAAUGAUUUGAUGCUGGGGCCUCCUAUGGUCAGAAGAUGGGGAUCCUUCAAUUGGAGUCAUCGCCCAUCCGCUCACGAGGGUGUUGGGGAAUUCUGGCAGCCUGCCUUUGAAUCCUGGCUCCAUCACUGAGUGACAGACUUUGGGCAAAUCAUAGAACCUCUCUUAGCCUCAGUCCCCUCAGGUGUAAAAUGGGAAUAAAAUAACACCUUCCUCGGAAGGGCUUAAAUGAUCUCAUGCCUUUCAUGGUCAGUCCGGGGCCGGGUACCCAGCAAUGGGCUUAAAAAGCAACGCCCUUUUCUAAGUAGAGAAUAUUUUUAUUCUUGAGUUGACUGCCUUUGCCAAGGCAAAGGAGGGCCGGCCCCACCCCCUCCCGCCACCGCACCCCCCCACCCGCCCUCUUUGUGACUUGUUUUUCCUUUCAAGGGUGGUCUCUGCUCCCUGCACUGUGAUGUCACUGCCUAAAAAUGCCGGGCGCAGGCGUGGGGAGGCGGAAGGGGCACUGGCUGCGAUUUCUCCCCGGCCAGCCUUGUGCUCCCCAGGGGCAGCCCUGGCCGUGGCUCAGGAGCUCCAGCCUCCUUCCCAGCGGAAUUUAUGAUUCCCUCCUCAGCCGGAGCUGGUUCACUCCUCCAGAAAUAAACCACGGCCGGCAGAAGGCACAGGCCUCAGCCCCGACUUUGUGUCUCCUACCCGAUGCAUCGAGCGGCCCACGAGCCUGGUAGAGGGGAGCUCCCUGGUAGACCUGGGUCCAGGGCUACAUUUGCUGUCAAACAGCUGUGGGGCCUUGGGCUGGUCACUCAACCUCUCUGGGCCUCAGUUUCUCCAGCUGGGAGAGAAGGGAUCUAGACCAGUGGAUUCGCAAAAGCUCAGCUGGGUCACUGAUCCUACGUUAAGCAGGUCAUUUUCUCUCUCUAGAAAGUUCCCUGCUGUGUCAAUUGGCCUACCAUCUUGGAAAACAGAAUGUGAAGUGUCGAUUGACAGAGGACAUCCUUACUCCCAGCUGGCACCUCCGAGUUCACGCCGUCUUCCUUCUGCGUGAAGGAUGUGGAAACCAACACUUCCCCGGGGAAGUUCUGGCUGAGGGGAUGAAUUCUGGCUCCUUGGUUUCUACAGGAUUCUCUUACCGCCCUUCCGGUCGCUCCAGGAUGACCACAAUCCGGACACACUGUUCUUUUCAGACCCGCUCUCCCACCGCUGGCCGAUGGGAAGCCCUCCAAACCUGGAAGGUGGGCCUUCUCAAGAUCCCCAGGGGGGCCCGAAGCUGUCCCUCAUCUUGCCUGGAAGGUAGUCCUUUUUUCCACGUGAGCCAUCCCAGGGCCACGGACAGUCUUUUCUGGAAGCUGCUUGGGUUCUGAUUUGUCUCAGAGUCUCUGCCGUUAGACGGAUUCAGUGCACCUGGUCUCAGACGGGGCUCUUUGAUUGUCGCUAGAGUAAUCUUGCUUUUGUGGGGUGGGGGCAUUUUUUUUGACAUCAUUUCCCCUGGAGAGUCAACACUUUAUUCCGUGGUAAUCCAUGUGUCACGGGUAAAGCUGACGCGCCUUCCUGGCCCGGGGACGAUGUGUGACCCAGGUCUGGCCACUCUGAAUCCUCCACGCACCUGCUCCUCCACGAUAAGCGACACAGAGAUAGACGUGGGAGCCUCCCAAGCCAACCUGGUCUUCCCCAGGCCUUUCCCAGGGCCUUUGGGACAGAUGUGAUCCCUUCUCCAGGACCCACGCUUUGUGGACCAGGAAGGCCCGGUGUUGCCGAGGAUCAUUUUUAGGUGAAAGCAAGAUCGAGACAACCAGCGUGGAGAGGUGGAGAGAGAGAGAUUCUGGAUGCCUUCAGUCAGAUCCAAGGACCCGAAUGUGACUGAGACCAGACCCUCCCAUUGAUUUUCCAGUGACGGGAACCAACGAAUGACCUUCCGGGUUAGGCCAGUUUGAGAUGGGUUUCUGGCUCUCUCAAGUAGGAGUCCCAACUAAUUUGCCAACUGGGAAUAAAAAACAAAAAUGGGGUCAUCAGAGGAAGUUGGGGGCUGAUGGGUUCAGAGGAAGAGCUAAGCAUUCAGACUCCAGGAAGGAGGGAUCCAGUGAGCAUCAGGCAUCCUGGCCUCAGGGACGCAGGGAGUCCAGGCACCUGCGUGCGGGCUCCAUUGGAUUUCCACUCCAACGCAGAGUUCCAGGGAGCAAUUAUCCAAGUGACCCAGCUUGGGUCCCAUGCCUGACCUGUUGCUGGAGAGCUGGGUGGACCCCACGUGAUGGGGGAGCAGUCACCGCCCCCGGAGGAAAGGUGUCUUAGGAUGAAGAGAAGGCUGAGCAGUGACAAGUGCAGAUGUCCACCGCAGCUCCGGAAGCAGCAGAUGGCACGGGGCCAUUUUCUCUCUGGUUCGAUGAGACUGCCCUGGGGUGCUUUCGCUCGAAGGCUUGGCGGAGGGGCUACCCGUGGGGCGGAGGGAAAGUUGGCUUUUGGAGUUAGACGAUGGAGAUGGUAACAAUGCUGCCUCUCCGAGCUCCCUGGGCGACCCACUGCAAACUACGCGUCAGUGCGUUCCUUAGAAGUACCCAUUUCCACCCACACUACAGAGGUGCCGAUUAUGACCGUCUCUUGUCCUCUCAUCGCCAUGGUGACUUUGGGGACACAUCAGGUGAGGCUAACUCGCCAUGAGAAGAUGUCCUGCUGAGGAAUGCAAUUCCGUCUUGACCCAGGGGACCUCGAGUUUCAGAGCCUGUGCACCCUCUUUGAGAAACGUGGGGACCCCGGUCUCUCUUUGACGUUAACUAAAAUUCAGACGCUAUGAUAAAACUGAUCAAGAAGACGGGGCUGAAAGAGUCUUUGUUUUCAAGCGGCAACUGACAUCCAUGGCGAUCCCAACAUGCAGUUGUCUUUUUGAAUUAUUCCUGAAUCAUUCGUGAAACCUAAUUUUUGAAUAAAAAGAUUCUUGCCCUGACUUUCUCUGUCCUGACGUCAGCAGCCGUUGAUGCUCGAUGCCUUCCCGUUACUUCAC